AGUGAACGCUGGCGGUAGGCCUAACACAUGCAAGUCGGACGGCAGCACAGUAAGAGCUUGCUCUUACGGGUGGCGAGUGGCGGACGGGUGAGGAAUACAUCGGAAUCUACUUUUUCGUGGGGGAUAACGUAGGGAAACUUACGCUAAUACCGCAUACGACCUACGGGUGAAAGCAGGGGAUCUUCGGACCUUGCGCGAUUGAAUGAGCCGAUGUCGGAUUAGCUAGUUGGCGGGGUAAAGGCCCACCAAGGCGACGAUCCGUAGCUGGUCUGAGAGGAUGAUCAGCCACACUGGAACUGAGACACGGUCCAGACUCCUACGGGAGGCAGCAGUGGGGAAUAUUGGACAAUGGGCGCAAGCCUGAUCCAGCCAUACCGCGUGGGUGAAGAAGGCCUUCGGGUUGUAAAGCCCUUUUGUUGGGAAAGAAAAGCAGCAGGUUAAUACCCCACUGUUCUGACGGUACCCAAAGAAUAAGCACCGGCUAACUUCGUG
Molecule: ribosomal RNA, 492 nt
Filed under: uncultured bacterium
Lineage: Bacteria
Description: partial 16S ribosomal RNA
Rfam family: Bacterial small subunit ribosomal RNA
Source: RNAcentral